ACGACCUUACUUGAACAGGAUCUGUUCUAUAGGCUCGUACCAUGAGCAUGGAGCCAGAGCGUGAUUAACAGAGCUUUGUGGGUUUACUCAUGGCUUAGUAGAGGAUCGUUGCUAGCCCAUCUGAUGGGUCUUGCAUGGCUUCAUGGUUGUCUGAC
Molecule: small nucleolar RNA, 155 nt
Filed under: Helianthus annuus (common sunflower)
Lineage: Eukaryota; Viridiplantae; Streptophyta; Magnoliopsida; Asterales; Asteraceae
Description: Plant small nucleolar RNA U3
Rfam family: Plant small nucleolar RNA U3
About the family: Small nucleolar RNAs (snoRNAs) are involved in the processing and modification of rRNA in the nucleolus. There are two main classes of snoRNAs: the box C/D class, and the box H/ACA class.
Source: RNAcentral